Molecule: long non-coding RNA, 686 nt
Filed under: Zea mays
Lineage: Eukaryota; Viridiplantae; Streptophyta; Magnoliopsida; Poales; Poaceae
Description: long non-coding RNA (ZMAY_LNC004985)
Source: RNAcentral
AUAAGAGAAGGGAAAACAACGUAUCAUAGAUAAUCUCAUCAUGUUCAUUGAUUAGAGUUUGAGCAAUGGCAUAAAGUUAGACAAUAAUAAUCCAACCCAAAUAGGUAAACAAGGACAUGGAUAACAAAGCUAGUCAAUCCUUAGGCAUAAAUGUGUAAAGCGGGAGGUGAAUUAAAGAAUGAAUAAGACAGAGAUAGGUCAAGGGACAAUUGCCUCCACCAACCGACUGCUGCUCAGGGGCUUCUCCUGCGAGUUCCUCGGGCUCUUCAAUCGGAUCGUUCUCUAUGCUAUUGCAAGCAUACAUCCAUCCAUCCAUUCAAAUUAGGAAACAAACAGUACACCAUACAAGAGAACAAAUAAAGUAAAUAUGCAUAGAAUAUCACAUGCGAUAAUGAACUUACCAUGAUUGGAAAGAAAUGAGAAAAGGUCUUGCGAGGAAGAAAUUCAUCGGGACUCCAUCGGCCACACCUCCUGACCUGCCCAUAGUCCACCAUGGCGCAGUGGUUCCAGAGCCCCUUCGGAUCGAGCGGGCUCGCCUGGCGGGUGGAGUUCGCCAGGUGCUCGUGCAUUGGCACGGCGAGUAGGCCGCAUCAGCAACAUGGGAAUACCUCGACGACUUCUAUGCCCGGUUCCCGGACUUUCAGCUCGAGGACGAGCUGGACCUAGAGGGGGGAGAGAUGUCAUGU